Molecule: ribosomal RNA, 420 nt
Filed under: Maxmuelleria lankesteri
Lineage: Eukaryota; Metazoa; Annelida; Polychaeta; Echiuroidea; Bonelliidae
Description: partial 16S ribosomal RNA
Rfam family: Bacterial large subunit ribosomal RNA
Source: RNAcentral
GGCCGCGGUAACCCGUGCAAAGGUAGCAUAAUCAUUUGCCCCUUAAUUAGGGGCUUGUAUGAACGGAUAAACGAGAAAUACGCUGUCUCUAGAGCACUAAAUAAAAACUAUCCUCCAUGUGAAAAGACAUGGCUACUUAUAGAAGACAAGAAGACCCUAUUGCGCUUCAUUGAAAAGAACGAAAACCCUACCUUUCUAUCAAUUUAGUUGGGGCGACACCGGAUACUCACAUCCAUCCGACAAAAAAAAGGAUCACAAUCCCUCCUAAUUGACCCUAAAAAGCUUAAAGAACAAGUCACCAUAGGGAUAACAGGCUAAUCCCCUCAUAGAGCCCAUAUCGACGAGGGGGUUUGGCACCUCGAUGUUGGCUUAGGGUAUCAUAUAGACGCAGCCGUCUAUAAAUGAAGGUUUGUUCAACCU